Molecule: transfer RNA, 71 nt
Filed under: Loxodonta africana (African savanna elephant)
Lineage: Eukaryota; Metazoa; Chordata; Mammalia; Proboscidea; Elephantidae
Rfam family: tRNA
About the family: Transfer RNA (tRNA) molecules are approximately 80 nucleotides in length. Their secondary structure includes four short double-helical elements and three loops (D, anti-codon, and T loops).
Source: Rfam by way of RNAcentral
GCAGUGGUGGUUCAGUGGUAGAAUUCUCACCUUCUAUGCAGAAGACCUGGGUUUGAUUCCUGGCCAGUGUA